Molecule: transfer RNA, 82 nt
Filed under: uncultured Cytophagales bacterium
Lineage: Bacteria; Pseudomonadati; Bacteroidota; Sphingobacteriia; Sphingobacteriales
Also listed under: 1 other name
Description: tRNA-Leu-GAG
Source: RNAcentral
GUCCACGUGGUGGAAUUGGUAGACACGCCAUCUUGAGGGGGUGGUGCCGCAAGGUGUAGGAGUUCGACUCUCCUCGUGGACA